RNAcentral lists this ribosomal RNA (611 nucleotides) under uncultured bacterium. RNAcentral's name for it is "bacterial SSU rRNA". The stretch from base 1 to 519 matches the Rfam family "Bacterial small subunit ribosomal RNA", at positions 338 to 873 of the family's 1533-position model. The record is from RNAcentral.
CCUACGGGAGGCAGCAGUGGGGAAUCUUGCGCAAUGGGCGAAAGCCUGACGCAGCCAUGCCGCGUGAAUGAUGAAGGUCUUAGGAUUGUAAAAUUCUUUCACCGGGGACGAUAAUGACGGUACCCGGAGAAGAAGCCCCGGCUAACUUCGUGCCAGCAGCCGCGGUAAUACGAAGGGGGCUAGCGUUGCUCGGAAUUACUGGGCGUAAAGGGAGCGUAGGCGGAUAGUUUAGUCAGAGGUGAAAGCCCAGGGCUCAACCUUGGAAUUGCCUUUGAUACUGGCUAUCUUGAGUACGGAAGAGGUAUGUGGAACUCCGAGUGUAGAGGUGAAAUUCGUAGAUAUUCGGAAGAACACCAGUGGCGAAGGCGACAUACUGGUCCGUUACUGACGCUGAGGCUCGAAAGCGUGGGGAGCAAACAGGAUUAGAUACCCUGGUAGUCCACGCUGUAAACGAUGAGUGCUAGUUGUCGGCAUGCAUGCAUGUCGGUGACGCAGCUACGACAUUAAGUACACUCCGCCGUCGGGGUAGGUACGGUCGGCGAAGAUUAAACUUACAAUAGUAAGUUAGACGGCGUGAGACGUGCCGACGGACGACGACGAGGGAGGUUAGG